This 905-nucleotide long non-coding RNA is filed under the name Homo sapiens (human). RNAcentral describes it as "HSALNT0321853". The record is from RNAcentral. Lineage: Eukaryota; Metazoa; Chordata; Mammalia; Primates; Hominidae.
AUUAAUAAGGCCUGUAAUACUAUGAGAAGGAAAUGGUGGCAAUUGGCAAAUGGAACUCUGUUGCUUGGUAACAAAACCUGAGAAAUAAUCAAAACCCUCUGCACUCACUCAGAAGUGUCCAUAAGUCCUGUUCAAGUAAUCUUAAAAGAGACUGUUCCAAUAUUCGAUCUGCCUCGUUCAACAAGGCAAAAAGGUGAGGAAGCAGAGAAUUAUUUUUGAAUGGCUACUGCUUAAAGAGUUGCCUGCGUGAGGUUUGGUGGCAAGAAGCAGAAGUCAGAGCCUGUGGUUCCUGUUGCUCUUCGGCGGUAUGAAAGAGAGAAGAAGGCGUGCUUCAUUAUAUGAAGCUUUGCUCCUAAGGUACAACUCUUGUAGACCUCCCGGACUCACCCAAUUUCCUCAUAGGCUUUUGCAUUAUCUUAAAAGAUGUUUCCCUUAGUAAUAUGGAGGAGACAAAAUCAAUAAUGUGCAAUACAUUUAAUCAACACGAAAACCUGAUUCUAUCAGGAGAACAGAUUAAAGGAGUCUUGCUUAGACUCCAGGGUAAUUGACAGUUUUUCUGCCUUAUAUGUGGAAUGAUUAUAACAAGUUGUAAUUCAGAUAAUGAACUUCUUAAUGCAGGAAGUUCUUCAUUCAGGAAAUAGAAGUUGGUGAAAUUGAAACAAAUUUAUUAAGUAAAUAAAGGGAAAAGCACAAAAUACUUAGUGGCUAGAGUAUUAUCAAUUGUAAAGAAGAUUUGGAAUAGAACAGUUAGGGAGCUAUAAUUCUUCAGUUUUUAUACUGUUCUACCACUCUAGUAUGUUGCUAUAAUUCUCUGAAUUAAUUUUUUUAAAAAUACAACAGCUGUCUGGAGAAACCAAUUUGAUCUCACUUUUAUUUUAUUUUUUAAAUGCAUUUGAUUAUGUAUA